This is a non-coding RNA of Rattus norvegicus (Norway rat), 6871 nucleotides long. Lineage: Eukaryota; Metazoa; Chordata; Mammalia; Rodentia; Muridae. The record is from RefSeq and is a predicted model, not a curated record.
UGCUGACAGGUUUGUCUUCCUCUCCUCAUCGUAGUCAUCCUGGGAGUUUCGGACAAGAUCUCGGUACACGGCCAGGCACUCAUCGUAGCGUUCCAGGCGGUACAGCUGGAGGCCAAAGCAAGGGGUCAGAGGACUACUGACAAAACUACUGGCAUUCUGAAACAAAUAUUAAAGAAGCAAUCAUGGAAGAGCUCAAUACAAGGACAAUGCAAACACUCAAAUGGGCCACAUCUUGAGACUGAGGCAUAGCAGAAGCCCUGGGUUCUAUGCCCAGCACCCUACAACUGGAUAUGAUGGUACAUGUCUGUUAUCACAGCCUUGGGAAGUACAGGUAAAGAUCAGAAAGGUAGGCUCUUACUCAGCUACCGAGGAGCUUGAGGUUGGUUGGGAGACAUGCGACACUGUCUCCAAAGAAGAAAGUUUCUUAAAUCUCCUAACAAAAUAUACAAUACUGGUUAACUUGUUCAUGAAGCAAAUGGUUAAGAAAAAAAAAUUAGAUAUAAAAUAUGGUAACUGGAGAAGAUUCAACCAAGCAAGCAGUUAUUUAAAUCUCCAGAUUUAAAAUUCAUGUACAUUAAUGUAAUAUUUAAAAUUCAUUUUGAAGUUUUGACCAUAACCCCCGCCCCCAGAAAAAACUCAUCAAAGCAAAUGUAAAAAAGUAACAAUUCAGGAAGUUUGUGUUCUGUGAAAUAUAAAUGAGAUUAAAAAAAAAAAAAAAGGCAUCAAUAAUUGAAAACAAACAGCUCAAAGGUCUUGGCCUGAAUAAUUAAUGGUCCAAGGGCCAGAGGUCAGGCUAAGUUCACCUUACAGACGUCUAUGCUGCAGAUGUUCAUGUGCGGUAAGCGUACACAUGUCUGGUUGAUAGGUACAUCCUUGUUUUCUCCCUAGAUCCUUGUUCCAAGAACCAUCCAGCUCCACCAGGCCCACCUUUGGAAAUGGUCUCAGUCCAUAGCCCAAGACGGCUUCAAACUAGAGAUUCUGCCUCAGUCUCCUCAUGCUGGAUCACAAGCAUAACUUGUAUAUGUGACUCACAUUUAUGUUCUGCAUUCUUUUAUGGUUUACCCCCUUCUGAGCAGUUCAAAAGAAAGACAGCUCUGGAAAUUGUGGCACAUCCCAUCAUUCAGGAGGCUGAAGUAGGACUGUACGUUUAAAACCAGCUUGGACUGCACAGUGAGUUCCAGGCCAGCAAGAUUAGAUCCGGGACAAACAAAUAUGCAAAUACGAAACAAUAAAAACCCAGGAAAGCAGAAAACAAGCAAAGAGGCAAAAAAACACAAACAAAAAAAAUUCUGAAAUUCUAACAGUCCAGCAGAGAGGAACCAAGAUCACUACUUUGUCUUCUAACUUCAGAAAGACCAAUGACAGAAAAAAGGAAAGCAGGUCAAAAGGGAAGAGCUGGAGGAAGCAGUGGGUGAGGUGAUAGCUCUAAUAACCACUAACAGAAUCACUUACUUGGCUAACACUUUGGUGUGAGUAUUGAUGACAUUCAAGGCUUCUUUGAAACUUCCAUUCUGGAUAAGGCAAACAACUUUACAGUGCAAGGCCGUGACAUCAUCCUUGUUGAUCUGCAAUACUAGAGAACGUUUUUUAGGAAAGCCAUUUUUAAAUCCGUCCCUCAGCUCGUUUUUAACUAAAUAAAAACGGGAAUACAGAUUGCCUAACAUAUGGGAGGCCCUAAGUCUAAUUUUCGCCACUGCAAAACAAACAAAAACUACAACAUAGGCAUGAUUCAUCUUUGGAAUGUUCCAAAGAAAUAUCCAAAAUUCCCCUUUCCCAAAAAGAGAUUGAAGAGAAAUAAAAUAAUAAUUUAUUAUAUAAUAUAAUAAUAUUAAUAAAAUAGUAAUUCGGGCAGCCAAGGUUCGAUGCUAACAGCAUGCCGGUGUCAAAAGGACUAGGAUCACGGUUCCCCUUGCUCCUAGUCUACCGCAGGAAUCCAAUUCUCAGUUUACAAGUCGGUAAAGGAAUUUCUAGAAAUUAAUGGGUAGGGCUGAAGUGACAGUCUUGGCUGAUUAAAGAAUUGCUACACUGUUAUACUGAUACAAAUAUGGGUUGUAGCCCAGCAAAAGGCUAAUGUUAAUGCAAGUAAGUUUGUCCAUACUCAAUUCUAAUUAGUAGCUAUUUUCCUUAAUGCGUGGCCACCAUGACUACUUUUAUAGUAAUCAGGGACCUGAAGGUGCAAAGCGUGUGUUACUGCGAUAUUCUUUACAUAACUAGUGCCUGGUACCGCUGAAUGAUUUGGUAGUUACAUUACCAAACCUAACAUACACAGGUCUAUCUACUGUACAGAAUAUAGCAUGGCCAUAUUACAGGCAUAUAGUGAAGAAUAACAAAUUAUGGAAUCUCAUAUUGAAGACAACUAAAAUUAGAAAUUAUAAUUCAUGGGGCUAAAAACGCAGGUCAAAGUCUCCUUAGGUUAUUUUAAAGGUUGGGGCUUAUUCACUGGCUAAUUAAGACCGGCAAGCUUUUGUACGUGCAAAUGAAUAAAGACCUGACAUUCACACCUCUUCCCUUUAGAAUCUGCAAUGCUUCCACUUUGUCUGCAACAGCAUGGAUGCUACGUGUCAAGGCAGGUUCCUUCCCCUGCCCCAGCCCCAGUCCAUAAGUUUCCUUCAUGACACUAUCUUGAUCACUUCGCUCAAGAUAAUGAAGAAAAGUCAAAUCUGACAUCUUCGCAAAAUCCGGCAGCGGAGAAGAUAUCAAGAACAAUUUGGAAGCGGUUCCGGACGCCAUGGUCUCUUUAAGUCCCCCCUCCCCCUCGCGUCGGGUCUCGCCGGGACUGAGGGAAGUAAGUACACGUGGCCCUAAGCGACCGAGCUCCGGCCGCCGGUGGCCGUGGGACAGCGACCCGCCCCCGGUUUGGGGGCCGAGCCGAACGAAGGACGCAGCGAUCCCCUCCGGGCUGUGCCGAGGAGGCGCGCGCUGGACACAGGCGGCUUCCUCCUGACAGUCCGGCUGUCCCGACACUUACUUUUGUUGACGGUCUUGAGGGCACGCGUGAAGUCGCUGUUCUGCCCAUAACGGUUCACCUCACUCCACAGCGCAGGGACUGACACCCCACCGCUGCCGCCGCUCGCCAUCUUGGAGAAGGUGGAGGUGGGGGAGGAGUAGGGCGACCUCUGCCCCGGAAGAGGAUCUCGGAGUUGGCCGGGCGAAGGAGGAAGUUGGUGGUUGCUAGGCGGCAGGGAGUUGCGAGCGCGUAGGUUCCAGAGCUGGGGUCAGAAAUCGGUUUUCUUUCAAGACUUACGCCCCAACUCCUACUCAAAAGGCGACUGGAGAUAGGAGGAGUCAGAUUCAGAAAAGGUGCUCACCGAAACUGUCAGCCCAAAGCCGCCGGCAUUCUGGUGAGACCACUGUGGUCCGACUGGCCGGGAGACACUCUUUGGAAGAGAAAAACUCCCGGUUCCUCAGGUGGUAUUAGGUGGUAAUUAAUUUAAGGAACCGUAGAGUCGCUUGAAGGAGGCAGGUACAGGCACAGCUUCUCAUGGGUGCUUCAGAAUUGCCGUUUCAGGACAUGAACAGGAUUAGAACCUGGGAAUGAAUCUGGGGGAAGUGAAGAUCGCUGUUGAUGAAAAUACAGUGAAAGGAACUGUUUAACCUCCCAUUGAGAUCUAGCUCAGGAGCAGUGUGGGCUGGAAGCCCGAUGAGAUGAGAAUAUCCAGGUUCUGAACUGAUUGUACGACUUGUGUAGAUGUCAUACAAUAAACUACGUCUUGGAGGUUUUCCUUAAUGUACUUUAAAAAAAAAAGUUUCAUGUAUGUGGGUACACUGUCGCUGUCUUCAGACACACCAGAAGAGGGCAUCAGAUCUCAUUACAGAUGGUUGUGAGCCAUCAUGUGGUUGCUGGGAAUUGAACUCAGGACCUCUGGAAGAGCAGUCAGUGCUCUUAACCACUGAGCCAUCUCUCCAGCCCCUUAUUGUACUUCUUUAAGGAAACUUGGUCACGCAGCCUAGUCAGUAUACAUUCUGGUUUCAAGGCUCAACUUCCUUGUGGAGAAGAUGCAUGCAUGCUAAGCAAGUGGGCUCAGCAUUCAGCUACACCCUCUACAAGGCUCUAUUCCUGAGUGCUGAUUCUUUAAGUCCCUCUAACAACCUAUAGUCGUAAGGCCAUAGGCCUUAUUUACUUUACUUACUACCUGGGAGACCUGAACCAAACCUUCCUUCACCUCCCGUAGACUGAACCUCAAGUUCUCUUAAUGUUGUUACUCAGCUUUUAAACCACGCGUCUACUUCAUAUUUCUUGUCUGGGUCAAGGGCUGAAACUCUAGCUGAUUGUCAUAUGGUUCUGGACAACUUUGUGUAGUCAGUAUAAUAAUACAUGAUACUGAAUUUAUGAGGAUGAGUUUAUUUUGGAUCAUAAUUUCAGCUAUAGUAGGUUGGCUUUGUUGCUUUGGAACCUCAGUGAGGAACAUCAUGAUAGAAAUCAGGUAGUAGUUACCCAAAGCUGCACACUUAAUGAUUACUGGGCAGGAAAAAGCUGAAGCCCCAGACAAAAUGUCAAUUUCAAAAGCACACUUACACUAGGCACUAUCUCCUACAGCAGUGGUUCUCAACCUGCGAAUCAUGACCCCUGGAGGGGGGGGUCACAUAUUAGAUAUUUACACUACUAUUCAUAGCAAUUGCAAAAAAAAAAAAAAAAAAAAAAAAAAGCAGGAACAAAAUAAUUUUAUGGUGGGGGGUGCCACCACAACAUGAAGAACUGUGUUAAAGGGUCAUGGCAUUAGGAAGGUUGAAAAUCACUGGCCUAGACGUUCCACCACCUUUAAACAGUGUCAAAGGAGCCUCUACAGAACACUCAAGACCAACUACAGCAGAUUCCCCAGCUGCUGUACAUGCAUCAGUCCAGUAAGUUACACGGAGUUGUGUCCCCUUUUGGGAACUUGCACGUUCAUUCACAGAGUACUUCAGUACUAUGUAUCUGCCUGCCUGUAUAUAGGAAUUUACAUUGCUGAGAUACGAUAUCCAGUGUACUUGGACUAUGCAUUUCCUACAUGAGAUAGGCAAUAAAAAUAUAUACUGAGUGGUGAUAAGUUCUGUGAGAAUCUGAGGAUUACAAUUAAGAAUAGAGACCUAGAUUUUUUCCCUUUAAAGAUCAGAAAAGUCUGUGAGUAUCUGCAUCUGUCUUAAGUCAGGAGCUGGCAGAGUCUCUGAAGAUAGCCAUACCAGGCCACUGUCUGUAAGCACAUCUUGUCCUCCGAAAUAGUGUUGGGGUUUGGUGUCUGUGGAUGGAAUGGAUCCCAAAGUGGAGCGGUCUCUGGAUGGCCUUUCCUUCAAUUUUUCUCUUGGGUGAGUGGCCCCAUACCUCAACUGGAGGCCAUACCUAUCUACUGGAGGUGACCUCUUCAGGUUCUGUCUCCCCACUGUUGGGCAUUUCAGCUGUCAUCCCCAUUGGGUCCUGGGAGCCUCUCCCAUCCCCAGCAUCUGGGACUUCCCCCAGUGCUACAUACUACUAUUCAUUCGCCUGGCCCACUGGACUCCCCCUCCCACUCAGGUACCUACCAGCCUCUGCCUCCCAUGAUUAUUUUGUUCCCCCUUCUAAGUUGCAUUGAAGCAUCCACUUUAACCUUCCUUUUUGUUAAGCUUCAUAUGGUCUGUGAGUUGUAUUGUGGGUAUUCCCAGCUAUUGGGCUAAUAUCCACUCAUCAGUGAGUUCAUACCACAUUGUCCUUUUGGGUCUCCUUACCUCAGUCAGACGACUUUCUAAUUCUAUUUACCUGCAAAAUUCAUAUAGUACUCAUUUUUAAUAGCGAGUAGUAUUCCAUUGUGUAAAUGUACAUUUUCUGUAUGCAUUCUUCACUUGACAACUGGGUUGUUUCCAGCUUCUGGCUAUUAUAAAUAAGGCUGCUAUGAACAUAGUAGAGCACGUGUCCUAUUAUUAUGGUGGAACCCUUUCCCCUUCCUGAAACAGGGUCUCACAUGGCCCAGACUAGCCUUGACUUUGCUCACAUGACUUUUAAUAGGCCUUCAAAGUACUUAAAGAACCUGUAAAAUCAAGUGGUAAAUUUUGUUUAUGGAUUUUUUUUUUUAAAGACAGGGUGAACGGGAAUCUAAAGGUUCUUUGGAUUUAGUUGUAUUGUUUUGCUGGGGCAAACAUGCGAUUGCAGGUGUGGCAAACGUUUUACCAGAAAAUAAAAGUUUACAACCCAGAGAGCACCUCCCAACAGCUAAGCAGUAUUUUAGUCCAUCUUUCCCUGGAAUAGCUUUAUUCCAUAUAGAACUGUCUUAUUGCCCAAAACUCGCAGGAAAGGCCCUUUUAGCACCUCUUCCAUUUUAUGAGCUGCUUCUACCUCUAUUCUCAACUUCUUUAGAAGCACAGCAAGCAAAUACCCCCAAACAAACCAGGGUUAAAGCAUGGCAAGGACCUAGGGUUUCCUCACCAUUGUAAAAACCAACACAACAAAGUUCAAACACAUUCCUUAGCUGGAGACUCAUGUAGCAAUGUACUUACUGAGAAGGUCCAGAGCACGCAGCGAGAACACGUUAUUAACACGCACAAUAUUUUAAUUUUUAAAGUGUCAACUCCAAAUGUCAAGCAAUACUAUUGAUUUAUAAAUGUUAUUACCACUUAGAAAUAAUACUCUUUGAAAACGUUUAUUUUUUAAAAUUGUGUGUGUUGGGUGGAGGAAUGUAACAGAAUCUGAGAGCAGGUGCAUAAGGAAGCCACGGGGUCAGAUCCCGGGUUAAAGGUUAUUUAUUGUGAGGCAGUCUACAUGGAUGCUGGGAGCCAAACUCAGGGCAUCUGCAGGAGAGCCAUACUGGUUCUUGAACCACAGACACAUUGCUCCAGUUCCAUAAUUACAUAUUUACCCAACAAUGACUAUAUAGAAAGCGAGAUGUAAUUUAGCAGCGUUGUGCCAAGAUCCCCUCCCCAGCAA